RNAcentral lists this transfer RNA (103 nucleotides) under Daldinia vernicosa. Its description in RNAcentral is "tRNA-Ala". It matches the Rfam family "tRNA". Rfam says of the family: Transfer RNA (tRNA) molecules are approximately 80 nucleotides in length. Their secondary structure includes four short double-helical elements and three loops (D, anti-codon, and T loops). The record is from RNAcentral. Lineage: Eukaryota; Fungi; Ascomycota; Sordariomycetes; Xylariales; Hypoxylaceae.
GGGCUUGUGGUUUAGUGGUAUAAUACUCCCUUAGCAUGUGCGUGAUUUCACGAUCAUUUGUACAACUUGGGAGUGGUCCGGGGUUCGAUUCCCCGCGAGUCCA